CCAACGACCAAAGCAAAGGACAGCAUAACUGAAUGACACAUUGCUCAGAAAAUAUCCAAAGCUCUGUACGCUCUGGAAAGGAAGGCAAGAAUUGCUAAAGACUCUGGAUAUUGCUCUGUUUCUAUAAGGUCCCACCCAUAUACCAUCUCUUCUUUUGGAUUUCCUUUGGCAGCUAUACUUGGCCCCAAGGUUCCAACCUCACAUUGAAGAAAGUGACAUAAGAAAACACAAGUCCCAGCGCUAUCAGGGGCUAUCUGGAAAAGCUGCUUAAACGGCAAGUGAAAGAAGGCUCUCCCCUACCCCGUUCUAGACGGAGUUUCACUCUUGUUGCCCAGACUGGAGUGCAAUGGCACAAUCUCGGCUCACGACAACCUCCACCUCUCAGGUUCAAGUGAUUCUCCUGCCUCAGCCUCGCAAGUAGCUGGGAUUACAGACUCACCCUGAAGUUAUUUGAAGGAUCCUUGAAACUCUUUUGGAUUGCUGCUUGGAGAACAUUCCUGUAACUUGUUCCUGCUCCUUGAACUAUAAAAGCAGAAGGGAAUUACUGAGUUAAAACUUAUAAAUUAUUAUCAAAUAAAUCUUCAACAG
Molecule: non-coding RNA, 588 nt
Filed under: Pongo abelii (Sumatran orangutan)
Lineage: Eukaryota; Metazoa; Chordata; Mammalia; Primates; Hominidae
Source: RNAcentral